Molecule: long non-coding RNA, 715 nt
Organism: Peromyscus eremicus (cactus mouse)
Lineage: Eukaryota; Metazoa; Chordata; Mammalia; Rodentia; Cricetidae
Exons: 2
Source: RefSeq, a predicted model, not a curated record
GAGGCUGGUCAUUGGGCAGCAAAGAAAGGAUGUUAUGAAUGUAAGAAUCAGCAAAAUAAACCAUUCUUAUGAUCUAGUUGUCUAGGCACCCUUCUCUCUCUGUAACGCCAACUAAGCAAAAGAUUCAUGAAUGAGAUGAGUGAAUUCAUCACCUUCUGGAUCCCUGUCCUUUUCUGUUCUCUUGAUGACCAAUGACCACUCCAGAUGUGCCAUCUCUGUCCUGGACAAGCUUGGAAAUAGUGUUGCUAUGCCCAUGGUCACACAGCUCCCUCUGCUCAAAGCAGCACAUCACCUUAUUAGAAUAAAGGCUUCGUUGACUCUGCAAGUCCAACACCUCUCCAGAUAAUCCCCUUCUCUAUGUUCACUGCUGCUACACCAGACUUCUCAUCUAUCAGGGAGAACAUCAUUCAAACUUAUGUCUCUUGCUUCCCGGUUUUCUGUGCUUUGGUGCCUGCUCCGAUGUGAUAUGAAAUGUCAGGCUCUCUUUGCUUUGGUCUGCAUGUGGCCUAGGCUACAGCAUCAUUCAGAUAGGCUGGAAGGCUUAUUAAAGUACUGGUUCCUGAGCUCUACUUUGAGAAAUAUUGGAUUACAAACACUGGGUAUGAAACUGAAAAAAUUGCUUUUCAUAAGUUAACUUUUCUCUCCUGCCUAUGCAUUUCCAUGUACACUGUGUAUUAAUAACCACUGGCUUAAAAAUAAAGAUCCCCUCCUCGUA